This 350-nucleotide long non-coding RNA is filed under the name Lynx pardinus (Iberian lynx). The record is from RNAcentral. Lineage: Eukaryota; Metazoa; Chordata; Mammalia; Carnivora; Felidae.
AACAAGCAAAACUCUUCUUAGAUAUUAUAACUUGGGAGAAAAAGCUACUGAUCACAUUGAGAACUGAAAUUAAUAGGGGAGGAAGUGAAAAGAGAAGGACAUAGCUGUUUUAUUUUGUUCACCUAUAGGGCCUUGUAAAAAAUUAACUAGGUUUAAAGGAAAUGUCUUUUGAUAUGUUUUACUUGAAAUAGCAUUCUUACUUCAGUUAAGUAGUACCCAGUGAAGCAAUAACCCAGUAGGACACAAUAUGUCAGAAUCUGCUUAUUCUCCAAGCUCUUAAACAUGCUAAAAAGUCAAAUCCAAGAUGAAAUAUCUGUGCUUUUAUUGAUGAGUGCCCAAUAAACAAGGAA